UACGGAGGGAGCUAGCGUUGUUCGGAAUUACUGGGCGUAAGCGCACGUAGGCGGCUAUUCAAGUCGGGGGUGAAAGCCCGGGGCUCAACCCCGGAACAGCCCUCGAAACUAGAUAGCUAGAAUCUUGGAGAGGCGAGUGGAAUUCCGAGUGUAGAGGUGAAAUUCGUAGAUAUUCGGAAGAACACCAGUGGCGAAGGCGGCUCACUGGCCCGAUACUGACGCUGAGGUGCGAAAGCUAGGGGAGCAAACGGG
This 252-nucleotide ribosomal RNA is filed under the name uncultured bacterium. RNAcentral describes it as "partial 16S ribosomal RNA". It matches the Rfam family "Bacterial small subunit ribosomal RNA", at positions 524 to 776 of the family's 1533-position model. The record is from RNAcentral.